CCCUAGAAAUUUCAAAGCUGGCAGAAGGUGUGUUACUACUGUUGCUAUGCGGCAGUUCCAUUGCACCCCACGAUACCAGGCGUUUAUUCUCGUGCGUGGGGCAUUCCAAUGAAAGCCGCUCAAUGCGUGGAGUCUCAACAGAAUGGAAUUGCUGCGUUGUUUCAACAGAACCAAAACUUUCUCCAACUGAACUAUGGAAUCUGGUGUCUCCAACGGAGAGAUCUUUGUCACCCUUCUCCAAACAAUCUAAACCAAAAAGAUUGCCUUGAGGAUCAUUAAUAAUCGAAGAACUGAAAGAAUCAUUGGAGCAGAGACAACCCAAGG
RNAcentral lists this unclassified non-coding RNA (324 nucleotides) under Hevea brasiliensis (rubber tree). The record is from RNAcentral. Lineage: Eukaryota; Viridiplantae; Streptophyta; Magnoliopsida; Malpighiales; Euphorbiaceae.